This 253-nucleotide ribosomal RNA is filed under the name uncultured bacterium. Its description in RNAcentral is "partial 16S ribosomal RNA". It matches the Rfam family "Bacterial small subunit ribosomal RNA", at positions 524 to 776 of the family's 1533-position model. The record is from RNAcentral.
GCCGGAGGGUGCAAUCGUUGCUCGGACUCACUGGGCGUAAAGAGCACGUAGGCGGCUUUGUAAGUCUGAUGUGAAAGCCCACGACUCAAUCGUGGAAGUGCAUUGGAUACUGCAUAGCUAGAGUGCAGGAGGGGUAAGCGGAAUUCCAGGUGUAGAGGUGAAAUUCGUAGAUAUCUGGAGGAACAACGGUGGCGAAGGCGGCUUACUGGACUGUUACUGACGCUGAGGUGCGAAAGUGUGGGGAGAGAACAGG